Molecule: ribosomal RNA, 254 nt
Filed under: uncultured bacterium
Lineage: Bacteria
Description: partial 16S ribosomal RNA
Rfam family: Bacterial small subunit ribosomal RNA
Source: RNAcentral
UACGUAGGCAGCGAGCGUUGUUCGGAGUUACUGGGCGUAAAGGGCGCGUAGGCGGUCGUGACAAGUCACUUGUGAAAUCUCCGGGCUUAACUCGGAACGGUCAAGUGAUACUGUCGGACUAGAGUACAGAAGGGGCAACUGGAAUUCUCGGUGUAGCGGUGAAAUGCGUAGAUAUCGAGAGGAACACCUGCGGCGAAGGCGGGUUGCUGGGCUGAUACUGACGCUGAGGCGCGAAAGCCAGGGGAGCGAACGGG